ACUCAUCUUUAUUAGGUGUAAUGCAGAUAUAGCACUAUCAUGAAGUUAAAAAACAAAACGAAACAAAAACCAAUAAAACAACACAAGGGACUGGGGAGACUGGGCUUUCAUAAGUUCUUUAAAACCUCUUUCAGAUACUACUUCCUCCACAAAGACUUUUAAAAAUGAUUUUGUUUAUUUUUAUUUUAUAUGUUUUUUUUUUUUUUGCCCGAAUGUAUAUCUGUGUGAGGGUGUUAGGUAGUCAGAAACUGCUGGAGUUACAUACAGAUAGUUGUAAACUGUCAUGUGGGUGCCGGAAGCUGAAUCCCAGGUCCUCUGAAAAAGCAGCCACUUCUCUCAACUGCCGAUCCUCCUCUCCAAGCCCUUCACAAAGACUUUCUGAAAUUUGAUUUCUGUGUCAAUUUAAACUAAUAAUUUCCCCUUAUGUUAUAUUGGGAUGUUACAGAAUCUCAGAAUUUACAUUUUUCUUGUACUAAAUAUCUUUAAUAGUACUCAUAUUUUGAUGUCCCUACCCAUUACAUACUAUAAGCCUUAAACCUCAAAGUUUAAAGGGAUGAGAUGUUUGUUUUUUGAGAACAGUCACUUGAGGCAACCUUCCUGUAUCUACUUCCCGAGUGCUGGGAUUGUAAGCAUAUACCACCACAAUAGGUUGUCUUAAAAAAAAAUGUUCAUGGUGUUUGAUUUCACUGAAAGAACACUUAGGAGUUUUAACAUCCAUCAAGAGGUAGCAGCCAGUAAUUAGGUACAUGAUUUUGGCUGCCUACCUACUAUUUACUGUUUUUUUUUUUUUUUUUUAAGACUAAUUUUGUGUGUGUGUGUGGGUAUGCACCAGAGGACAAUUUGUUGGAAUGGGUUCUUUUCUUUUACCAUGUGGGUCCCAGGGAUUGAAUGCUCAGUGGCAUGUCAUGUCACUGGUCCAUCUACUAAUUUUGGGACAGCAUUCACUCUGUAGCUCAGGCUAGCCUUGAAUCCAUGUGAUCAAUCCUUUUGCCCUUCCUCAGUUUCUGGAGUGCUGGAACUUAUUGAUGUGAGCCACCAUGUUCAGUUUAGUUUUCUAAAUGUUCACAAUUUCAUCACACACACACACACACACACACACACACACACACACAGUGCUUUGAUUCCCACUCACUACCUCGACUAUUCAUUCUAUACGUCUUAUGGCACUUUUGUUCUACACCAUUUUAUUUCGCUGGGUUACUGUGCAAUUCCUGAAUCUGAUCUAAGAUCCGUUUCCUACUUCCAAAGAAUUUAUGUCCAAAAUUCCAAACUGUAUAACUAGCACUCUGUGUAAAAACACCAAGGACCUCCAACUUCAAUAUGCUAAAUUUGAACUCAUUUUUAAAGGAGUCUUAAGCUUUUUCCGGAUUCACUGUAUCCCAGAGCAUGCUUUCAUCAUCUCUCACCCGGGUUACUGCCCACUUAUUUAAAAACAAUUACUCCAUUUCCUCAAGUAAGCAUCCUCCACAUACUUUAACUCUGACGUUUGUCCCAAAUACACUCAACUAACAGCUGUUUGAAAAAUCCUCCAUUCCCGGUGUAAUAAACAGCCUUUGAAUUCCAAAGUCAGGCCCUAGAUUCCUCCAGGAUAACUGGCCAUCUCUCCUCGCCUACAGCCUUGCCAGCCUGAGCAAGUCCUUGCACAGGUUAGGGAACCCAGCAGAGUCUUAGCGAGUGUUUACUGAAGGUCCAGCGCAGCUGAGUGACGUCACGUCCGAUAUCCGGUGGUGUCUUCCUACGUCGUUCUGAGGGAGGUUGACAAACAGGGUUUCAGCCUUUAAGCUAGAGUUCGUAACUGCCGUUGACCUCCUCCUUUACGAAGGCCCAGAGCACCAGGUCAGAGCUCUGAGUCUGGGUCUGAAUUCAGCCGCAGGGCCCGGCCCAGGGUGGAACCCUGUGCGAGAGGAGCGCGGGCGCUGCCCGGACCCUGACCCAAGCGCAGAAGCGGCCCUCUAACACUCCGCGGCGGCGUUUCCUCCGAAGCUCUCGCGAGAGGAGCCGGGGAAAGAUGGCUGCGCCGGGUCUUUCCGAGUGAGGAGGAGGCGGCGGCGGCGGCGCCGGGCGUCGUGCGGUCGUGGUCUCUUGAGCUGCGGCUUUCCUCGUCCGAGACGAGGGCCGCCGCCUCCGGGAGAUGCGCGUGUCGCGGACCCGCGGUCGCCCCGGGAGUUCAUGCUGCGUGCUAGGCUCGCGGCCGCCGCUCUAAUCGCCCGGCGCCGCCGCCGCGCCGGCUCGGCCCGCGGUGAGCCUCCCGGAGCCUGUCCCGCGCGCCGCGGCGGCUAUGACCGGGGAGAAGAUCCGCUCCCUGCGGAGGGACCACAAGCCCAGCAAAGAGGACGGGGACGUGCUGGAGCCCUGCGAGGAGGAGGCGACAGCCGCGCUCGGCGGCGCCUUCACCGGGGGCAGAAGCGGACCGGGCGGCAGCGGCAAGGGCGGCAAGGCCUGCCAUAAGAUCUUCAGCCACCACCACCGGCUGCAGCUGAAGGCGCCCGCCGUUCCGGGCCCCGGCGUUCCGGCCCCGCCGCAGCACAACGCAGUGACUGCCACCUGCCCUGCCCCGGCCUGCCUGGGCGGCAGCAACCCCGCUUUAGUCGCUGACGGAGGCGGCUGCCCCUCGCUCUACCCGGUCCACGAGUGCGUCUUUAAGGGGGACGUGAGGAGACUGUCCUCGCUCAUCCGCACGCACAAUAUCGGACAGAAAGAUAAUCAUGGAAACACUCCUUUACAUCUUGCUGUGAUGUUAGGAAAUAAAGAAUGCGCACAUUUACUGUUGGCUCAUAAUGCUCCAGUAAAGGUGAAAAAUGCUCAGGGAUGGAGCCCUCUUGCGGAAGCCAUCAGCUAUGGAGACAGACAGAUGAUCACAGCUCUUCUAAGGAAACUCAAGCAGCAAUCUAGGGAGAGUGUUGGAGAAAAACGACCUAGGUUGUUAAAAGCCCUAAAAGAGUUAGGUGACUUUUACCUAGAACUUCACUGGGAUUUUCAAAGCUGGGUGCCUUUGCUUUCCCGAAUUCUGCCUUCUGAUGCCUGUAAAAUAUACAAGCAAGGUAUCAACAUCAGGCUUGACACAACUCUCAUAGACUUUACUGACAUGAAGUGCCAACGAGGGGAUCUAAGCUUCAUCUUCAAUGGGGAUGCUGCACCCUCUGAGUCUUUUGUAGUGUUAGACAAUGAACAAAAAGUUUAUCAGCGAAUACACCAUGAGGAGUCAGAGAUGGAAACAGAAGAAGAAGUUGAUAUUUUAAUGAGCAGUGAUAUUUAUUCUGCAACUUUAUCAACCAAAUCCAUUUCUUUCACACGUGCCCAAACUGGAUGGCUUUUUCGGGAAGAUAAAACAAAUCAAGGAAAAGGAGGGAGCACCUGAGUGAGGAGGACAUCCUGCGGAACAAGGCCAUCAUGGAGAGCCUGAGCAAAGGGGGGAGCCUGGCGGAGCAGAGCUUUGAGCCGGUUAGAAGACAGUCCCUUACCCCUCCUCCUCAGAACACUAUUACGUGGGAAGAAUACAUAUCCGCUGAAAAUGGAAAGGCACCACACCUGGGCAGAGAACUGGUGUGCAAAGAGAGCAAGAAAACAUUUAAAGCCACUGUAGCCAUGAGCCAGGAAUUUCCCCUGGGAAUUGAGUCAUUGUUGAAUGUUCUAGAAGUAAUAGCACCCUUCAAGCACUUUAACAAGCUUAGAGAAUUCGUUCAAAUGAAGCUUCCUCCAGGCUUUCCUGUAAAAUUAGAUAUACCCGUGUUUCCCACAAUCACAGCCACUGUGACUUUUCAGGAGUUCCGAUGUGAUGAAUUUGAUGGAUCCAUCUUUGCUAUCCCUGAAGACUACAAGGAAGACCCAAGUCGUUUUCCUGACCUUUAACUGAUCCAGAAGAGCAUGAGGCUCCAGGUGGCAAAGGCAGAGCUUUUCUAAGCAGAGUGUCAACACAUCAGUGAUGUGAUGAAAAACUGACCUCUAAUAAAACAUCCACAGCUUCCUGAUGUGCCAUUCAUUCAUCUUUUUAAAGUCACUUCCUGUCUGUAAUAGUUUGACACCCAGUGACCCUGAGACCUUCCUAUGUAAAGCAGCUGUGAGUGCUGUGAUUUGUUUUUAAAGAUUUUUACACUUCUUGUUGAAAUAUAUAUCAAAUAAAUAUAUCUAUAGCUAUAUCUAAAACACUCCUGGACCAUUAACGUAAAUUCUGUGUCUUAAGAGAUAUGAAACCCUUUGAAAUGCGUCACCUCUAUUCAGGGUGGCAUGUAUAAAUGUUCCUUUAAGCUUUGUUUUCAUCAUUAUGUAUAGUUCUGUAAUUUGAAUGUUUAACCAACUAGAAGGAAUGCAGUUUUCUGAGGUGAACAGAGCAAUGGUAACCAUCAGUUUCAUUUACAGCCUGUUGCAAUACAUUCCGAGGGAACGCUCCCUGCAGGGAAUGUGGUGCCCCCCCCCCCCCCCAGCACCUUGAUAACAGUUGCAUUUAUAGCUGCAAUGCAUUCCAAGGGAGUGCUCCCUGCAGGGAAUGCGGUGCCCCCCAGCACCUCCAUGCAGCUCAUCGUGGUGCUCUUUGUUUCACCUGAAUCCUUUUUCAGUGGAAACUGUUUGUUACUGAUCUUCCUUUCAUAGAGCUUCUAUUUUUUUUUUUUUUUUUCCUAAACUUGAGUUUAAAGGUCCUUGUUCUGUUGAUAGGUACGGUAACAUGCUUACAGCUAGCCCUCUCCUAAGUAUCAGCACUUUAAACAAAUUCCAAAUUUUUAAACUUGCUUCCUAGUAAGUGCAUGUAAGUCAGAUUAUUUUUAAUGGAAUAUGGAUGCAUUGGUGUCAAUUUUAAAAAAUAAAUAUGUAUUUUGGACAAUUAUGUAUUAAUGAUUUCAAAAUAAGGUAAAAACAUUUUAUAUGUAACAAUAUAUUUGUUAUAGGCUAAACGUCCAGAAACACACAAGAUUGAAAGUUCUUUUUUUUUAAGUCAUAGGAAAAUAAUUAUUGAUUUGUCUCCAAAGUGUUAAAAUCAUGCAUUACUCACUUUUACACCUAAAUUUUUUUCAUAUUUAUUAAAAAAUAGUUUAAAGAUCCAAGAAAGAAAAGUAGGGAGAAUAAUGUUCAAAUCACAAUAGUAUCAUGUUUUAUUAAAGACUUAGCUAAAUGUUUGUGUCCUGAUGAGAUGUGUCAAGAUACAUUUGUCAGGUUGUUACAGUGUGACUAGUAGUUUAAACUUUGACCAAGACUUUUAUUGAAAGAUGACUUAUUUAAAAAUCCAAAGUGUUAGCCAUAAGAUAGUUCUCUCUCUCUCUCUCUUUUUUUUUUAAAUUUAUUUAAUGUGGGUACACUGUAGCUGUCUUCAGACACACCAGAAUAGGGCAUCAGAUUCCAUUACAGGUGGUUGUGAGCCACCAUGUGGUUGCUGGGAAUUGAACUCAGGACCUCUGGAAGAACAGGUAGUGCUCUUAACCACUGAGCCAUCUCUCCAGUCCCCGAUAUUUAUCUCUUUACAGUUGCAUCUCACAUAGUGAUACCACCUGGCAUAUGUUGACAUUUUACUUUUUCUAAGAAAAAUAAUUGAGUUAAAAAAAUCAAAGCCCUCACCACUCCAGUAAGUGAUCUAUUUAGUUUUAAGAACUGAGAAGCCCAAAGCUAGCAUGAUGAAAUGGAGGCAGUGGCUGAUCCAGUGACUUAGCUAUUUAGUUCUGUUGUCAAUCAUGAUUCCAAGGUUCUGAAAGGCAGUGACACUGUUGCUUUAGGCUCAUUGGCUUGAACAUGUAGGAAGAAAUGAUAAAUUUGCAGCUUGGGAUUUAGAAUUUCUUAAACAUGUGAAUAUUUUGCUGGGUAACACUGGAGAUAGGACUACUGAAAAUUGUUGCACUGGAUUGUACUACUGAAAAUGGUUGCACUGGAUUGUUUUGAGACUUCAAUUUACCUUUAAUGAGUAGUAGAAUCAGAUUGUCCAUUCCAAAAUGUUUUUUCUCUGAUCACAAAGAACAAGUGUAUCUCUUAUGAUGGUGGAAAAAAAAGGAGUUAAUUAAUGCAAAUAAACUUUUCACAAUAUUAGACUUUU
This is an RNA transcript of Mus musculus (house mouse), 6013 nucleotides long. It is a transcript of the gene named ankyrin repeat domain 13c, with no coding region annotated. The transcript has 13 exons. Lineage: Eukaryota; Metazoa; Chordata; Mammalia; Rodentia; Muridae. The record is from RefSeq and is marked validated.